Dreissena polymorpha is the source of this 952-nucleotide long non-coding RNA. RefSeq lists it as uncharacterized. NCBI's taxonomy places the organism in Eukaryota, Metazoa, Mollusca, Bivalvia, Myida, Dreissenidae. The transcript is spliced from 2 exons. The record is from RefSeq and is a predicted model, not a curated record.
GGUGAAAAAAACACUGGGUAGUCAAAACUUUGUAUUUAAGACUAAUUGCAUUGAAAGUGUAUGGCUUAUUGAAAUGCUUAAAGUACACUUCCUUGGUGUCUUUGAGAAAUCAUGCUCCCAAAUUGUGGAUCAAACCGAUGAACUCCCAUUGCUAGGCAGAUGAAAAAACCAUGCCACAUUGACCUCUAUUGAAUUGAUUUGUUUGAACUCGGAAACAAAAAAUCAAAUAGUUUCAUGGCUUUCUCUGCCAAUCACCAAAUCAACAAAAUCCUUUUUUAUUACAUUAAGGUAAAAAAAUGUAAAAGUAUUUAUUUUAAACAAGCCGUCAUUCCAGAACAAGAAUCGUAACCUCAUUUAAAAUGUAUUGCAUUUCAAGGUAUUAAGGUUUAUUCGCGGUCAGUACAGGAAUAAUUAACCAGGUUUUCCGAAGGAAAAAACUGGUUAUUGGAUUGGCGAAUGCGGGCGGGCUGGCUGGCUGGCGGGCUGGCUGGCGGGCUGGCGGAAUAAGCUUGUCCGGGCCAUAACUAUGUCGUUCAUUGUCAGAUUUUAAAAUCAUUUGGCACAUUUGUUCACCAUCAUUGGACGGUGUGUCGCGCGAAAUAAUUACGUCGAUAUCUCCAAGGUCAAGGUCACACUUUGAGUUCAAAGGUCAAAAAUGGCCAUAAAUGAGCUUGUCCUGGCCAUAACUAUGUCAUUCAUUGUGAGAUUUUAAAAUCAUUUGGCACAUUUGUUCACCAUCAUGGGACGGUGUGUCCCACGAAAGAAUCACGUCAAUAUCUCCAAUGUCAAGGUCGCCACGACUAAAAAUAGAUUAAAAAAAAAAAAAACUUACAAAGGGGGUUAAUUUUUUUUGGUCAUUUCAAAAGUUCAGUUUGAGUUUUCUCCCUUUAUCAGAUUUUUUUUUCACAAUGAAAACCUGGUUUUGUGACAAUUUUGUCCCUUGUUUUAUAAA